This 264-nucleotide ribosomal RNA is filed under the name uncultured archaeon. RNAcentral's name for it is "partial 16S ribosomal RNA". It matches the Rfam family "Archaeal small subunit ribosomal RNA", at positions 717 to 982 of the family's 1478-position model. The record is from RNAcentral.
AGACGUCUACAUUAGAUACCCGCGUAGUCCCAGCCGUAAACUAUGCGCGUUAGGUGUAUCGGUGACCACGAGUUACCGAGGUGCCGAAGGGAAGCCGUGAAGCGAGCCACCUGGGAAGUACGGCCGCAAGGCUGAAACUUAAAGGAAUUGGCGGGGAGCACCACAACAGGUGGAGCCUGCGGUUUAAUUGGACUCAACGCCGGGAAGCUCACCGGAUAAGACAGCGGAAUGAUUGCCGGGCUGAAGACUCUGCAUGACUAGCUG